RNAcentral lists this transfer RNA (77 nucleotides) under Candidatus Margulisiibacteriota bacterium. RNAcentral describes it as "tRNA-Val". It matches the Rfam family "tRNA". Rfam says of the family: Transfer RNA (tRNA) molecules are approximately 80 nucleotides in length. Their secondary structure includes four short double-helical elements and three loops (D, anti-codon, and T loops). Further hydrogen bonds mediate the characteristic L-shaped molecular structure. tRNAs have two regions of fundamental functional importance: the anti-codon, which is responsible for specific mRNA codon recognition, and the 3' end, to which the tRNAs corresponding amino acid is attached (by aminoacyl-tRNA synthetases). tRNAs cope with the degeneracy of the genetic code in two manners: having more than one tRNA (with a specific anti-codon) for a particular amino acid; and 'wobble' base-pairing, i.e. permitting non-standard base-pairing at the 3rd anti-codon position. The record is from RNAcentral. Lineage: Bacteria; Bacillati; Candidatus Margulisiibacteriota.
GCGCGCUUAGCUCAGCUGGUUAGAGUACUUGCUUGACAGGCAAGGGGUCAGAGGUUCGAGUCCUCUAGCGCGCACCA